UACGUAGGGGGCGAGCGUUGUCCGGAAUUAUUGGGCGUAAAGCGCGCGCAGGCGGUCCUUUAAGUCUGAUGUGAAAGCCCACGGCUCAACCGUGGAGGGUCAUUGGAAACUGGGGGACUUGAGUACAGAAGAGAAGAGUGGAAUUCCACGCGUAGCGGUGAAAUGCGUAGAUAUCGGGAGGAACACCUGCGGUGUAGACGGCUUACUGGACCAUAACUGACGCUGAGGCACGAAAGCGUGGGUAGCAAACAGG
RNAcentral lists this ribosomal RNA (253 nucleotides) under uncultured bacterium. Its description in RNAcentral is "partial 16S ribosomal RNA". It matches the Rfam family "Bacterial small subunit ribosomal RNA", at positions 524 to 776 of the family's 1533-position model. The record is from RNAcentral.